CCUACGGGAGGCAGCAGUGGGGAAUUUUGGACAAUGGGCGCAAGCCUGAUCCAGCAAUGCCGCGUGCAGGAUGAAGGCCUUCGGGUUGUAAACUGCUUUUGUACGGAACGAAACGGUGAGCUCUAAUACAGUUUGCUAAUGACGGUACCGUAAGAAUAAGCACCGGCUAACUACGUGCCAGCAGCCGCGGUAAUACGUAGGGUGCGAGCGUUAAUCGGAAUUACUGGGCGUAAAGCGUGCGCAGGCGGUGAUGUAAGACAGAUGUGAAAUCCCCGGGCUCAACCUGGGACCUGCAUUUGUGACUGCAUCGCUAGAGUACGGUAGAGGGGGAUGGAAUUCCGCGUGUAGCAGUGAAAUGCGUAGAUAUGCGGAGGAACACCGAUGGCGAAGGCAAUCCCCCUGGACCUGUACUGACGCUCAUGCACGAAAGCGUGGGGAGCAAACAGGAUUAGAUACCCUGGUAGUCCACGCCCUAAACGAUGUCAACUGGUUNUUGGGUCUUCACUGACUCAGUAACGAAGCUAACGCGUGAAGUUGACCGCCUGGGGAGUACGGCCGCAAGGUUGAAACUCAAAUGAAUUGACGGCUUGAGACGNGCGAGGAGACACGAGGGAGAGG
RNAcentral lists this ribosomal RNA (618 nucleotides) under uncultured bacterium. RNAcentral's name for it is "bacterial SSU rRNA". It matches the Rfam family "Bacterial small subunit ribosomal RNA", at positions 338 to 950 of the family's 1533-position model. The record is from RNAcentral.